UCUUUGAUCCCCUUUCAGGACGAACGCUGGCGGCGUGCUUAACACAUGCAAGUCCUACGGGGUGUUUAUUUCGGUAAACACCAAGUGGCGAACGGGUGAGUAACGCGUAAGCAAUCUACCUUCAAGAUGGGGACAACACUUCGAAAGGGGUGCUAAUACCGAAUGAAUGUAAGAGUAUCGCAUGAGACACUUACUAAAGGAGGCCUCUGAAAAUGCUUCCGCUUGAAGAUGAGCUUGCGUCUGGUUAGCUAGUUGGUGAGGGUAAAGGCCCACCAAGGCGACGAUCAGUAGCCGGUCUGAGAGGAUGAACGGCCACAUUGGGACUGAGACACGGCCCAGACUCCUACGGGAGGCAGCAGUGGGGAAUCUUCCGCAAUGGGCGAAAGCCUGACGGAGCAACGCCGCGUGAACGAUGAAGGUCUUAGGAUCGUAAAGUUCUGUUGUUAGGGACGAAGGGUAAGGAUCAUAAUAAGGUUUUUAUUUGACGGUACCUAACGAGGAAGCCACGGCUAACUACGUGCCAGCAGCCGCGGUAAUACGUAGGCGGCAAGCGUUGUCCGGAAUUAUUGGGCGUAAAGGGAGCGCAGGCGGGAAACUAAGCGGAUCUUAAAAGUGCGGGGCUCAACCCCGUGAUGGGGUCCGAACUGGUUUUCUUGAGUGCAGGAGAGGAAAGCGGAAUUCCCAGUGUAGCGGUGAAAUGCGUAGAUAUUGGGAAGAACACCAGUGGCGAAGGCGGCUUUCUGGACUGUAACUGACGUUGAGGCUCGAAAGCUAGGGUAGCGAACGGGAUUAGAUACCCCGGUAGUCCUAGCCGUAAACGAUGGAUACUAGGUGUGGGAGGUAUCGACUCCUUCCGUGCCGGAGUUAACGCAAUAAGUAUCCCGCCUGGGGAGUACGGCCGCAAGG
Molecule: ribosomal RNA, 906 nt
Filed under: uncultured Bacillota bacterium
Lineage: Bacteria; Bacillati; Bacillota
Description: bacterial SSU rRNA
Rfam family: Bacterial small subunit ribosomal RNA
Source: RNAcentral